Molecule: ribosomal RNA, 357 nt
Filed under: uncultured bacterium
Lineage: Bacteria
Description: bacterial SSU rRNA
Rfam family: Bacterial small subunit ribosomal RNA
Source: RNAcentral
GAGUUUUGAUCCUGGCUCAGGAUGAACGCUAGCUACAGGCUUAACACAUGCAAGUCGAGGGGAAACGAUAUUGGAAGCUUGCUUCCGAUAGGCGUCGACCGGCGCACGGGUGAGUAACGCGUAUCCAACCUGCCCACCACUUGGGGAUAACCUUGCGAAGUAAGACUAAUACCCAAUGAUAUCUCUAGAAGACAUCUGAAAGAGAUUAAAGAUUUAUCGGUGUAUGGAUGGGGAGUGCGUCUGAUUAGCUUGUUGGCGGGGUAACGGCCCACCAAGGCGACGAUCAGUAGGGGUUCUGAGAGGAAGGCCCCCCACAUUGGAACUGAGACACGGUCCAAACUCCUACGGGAGGCAGCA